Molecule: ribosomal RNA, 440 nt
Filed under: uncultured bacterium
Lineage: Bacteria
Description: partial 16S ribosomal RNA
Rfam family: Bacterial small subunit ribosomal RNA
Source: RNAcentral
CCUACGGGGGGCAGCAGUGGGGAAUAUUGGACAAUGGGCGCAAGCCUGAUCCAGCCAUGCCGCGUGGAUGAUGAAGGCCCUAGGGUUGUAAAGUCCUUUUAACGGGGAAGAUAAUGACGGUACCCGUAGAAUAAGCCCCGGCUAACUUCGUGCCAGCAGCCGCGGUAAUACGAAGGGGGCUAGCGUUGCUCGGAAUUACUGGGCGUAAAGCGCACGUAGGCGGACCGAUAAGUCGGGGGUGAAAUCCUGGAGCUCAACUCCAGAACUGCCUGCGAAACUGCCGGUCUUGAGUUCGGGAGAGGUGAGUGGAACUGCGAGUGUAGAGGUGAAAUUCGUAGAUAUUCGCAAGAACACCAGUGGCGAAGGCGGCUCACUGGCCCGAUACUGACGCUGAGGUGCGAAAGCGUGGGGAGCAAACAGGAUUAGAUACCCUAGUAGUC